This 451-nucleotide ribosomal RNA is filed under the name uncultured bacterium. RNAcentral describes it as "partial 16S ribosomal RNA". It matches the Rfam family "Bacterial small subunit ribosomal RNA", at positions 28 to 507 of the family's 1533-position model. The record is from RNAcentral.
GAUGAAUGCUGGCGGCGUGCCUAACACAUGCAAGUCGAGCGGCAGCGAGGGGUGCUUGCACCCUGUCGGCGAGCGGCGAACGGCUGAGUAACGCGUAGGAAUUUGCCCCAAAGUGAGGAAUAACUGCCCGAAAGGGUAGCUAAUGCCGCAUAUGGUCUUCGGAUUAAAGGAUUUAUCCGCUUUGGGAGAAGCCUGCGUUGGAUUAGGUUGUUGGUAGGGUAAUGGCCUACCAAGCCGACGAUCCAUAGCUGGUCUGAGAGGAUGAUCAGCCAGACUGGAACUGAGACACGGUCCAGACUCCUACGGGAGGCAGCAGUGAGGAAUCUUCCACAAUGGGCGAAAGCCUGAUGGAGCAACGCCACGUGAAGGAUGAAGGCCUUCGGGUUGUAAACUUCUUUUAUGAGUGAAGAAUAUGACGGUAACUCGUGAAUAAGCACCGGCUAACUACGUG